CCCUUAGAUGUUCUGGGCCGCACGCGCGCUACACUGAUGCAUUCAACGAGUCUAUCCUUGACCGACAGGUCCGGGUAAUCUUUGAAUCUGCAUCGUGACGGGGAUAGAUUAUUGCAAUUAUUAAUCUUCAACGAGGAAUGCCUAGUAGGCGCAAGUCAUCAGCUUGCGUCGAUUACGUCCCUGCCCUUUGUACACACCGCCCGUCGCUCCUACCGAUUGGGUGUGCUGGUGAAAUGUUCGGAUCGGCCGUUUGUCGCGGUUUCCGCGUCAUGUGGCUGAGAAGUUCAUUAAACCCUCCCACCUAGAGGAAGGAGAAGUCGUAACA
RNAcentral lists this ribosomal RNA (325 nucleotides) under uncultured eukaryote. RNAcentral describes it as "partial 18S ribosomal RNA". It matches the Rfam family "Eukaryotic small subunit ribosomal RNA", at positions 1470 to 1796 of the family's 1831-position model. The record is from RNAcentral.